UCGGGAGAUCGUCGUGUCGAGGGGCGGCAUUUGGAGAGUUCGUCGGCAGGCUUUGUUGUUGAGGGCGAUGGACGAGACGCAGAAUUUGGUACGAGGAGUUUGUUGCGCUUGUUCCGCGGUCGAGAACCUCGCGUUUGGUCUCCUCGUGCGAGUAUCUGCUUCUCGUCCGUCGUCGACUUGUUCGGCUGCAAAGCAGGCGGUUUCUGGGAUUCGUUCUCCUCCCGAUUCGAUCACGAUGCUCGA
Marchantia polymorpha subsp. ruderalis is the source of this 243-nucleotide non-coding RNA. Lineage: Eukaryota; Viridiplantae; Streptophyta; Marchantiopsida; Marchantiales; Marchantiaceae. The record is from the annotation of a GenBank genome assembly.